AGAUUGAACGCUGGCGGCAUGCCUUACACAUGCAAGUCGAACGGUAGAGUAGCAAUACUUGAGAGUGGCGAACGGGUGAGUAAUAUAUCGGAACGUGCCCAGUCGUGGGGGAUAACGUAGAGAAAUUUACGCUAAUACCGCAUACGAUCUAAGGAUGAAAGCGGGGGACUCGCAAGAGCCUCGCGCGAUUGGAGCGGCUGAUAUCAGAUUAGGUUGUUGGUGAGGUAAAAGCUCACCAAGCCGACGAUCUGUAGCUGGUUUGAGAGAACGACCAGCACACGUGGACUGAGACACGGCCCAGACUCCUACGGGAGGCAGCAGUGGGGAAUUUUGGACAAGUGGCGAAAGCCGUGACUCAGCAAUCGCCGCGUGCAGGAAGACGGCUUGGUGUAACUGUC
Molecule: ribosomal RNA, 398 nt
Filed under: uncultured soil bacterium
Lineage: Bacteria
Description: bacterial SSU rRNA
Rfam family: Bacterial small subunit ribosomal RNA
Source: RNAcentral